UUGCUUCAGCAGCAUACAUACUAAAAUUAGAAUGAUACAGAGAAGAUUAGCAUGGCCCCUGCACAAGGAUGACAUCCAAAUUGUGAUUUUUCAUGAUUUU
Molecule: small nuclear RNA, 100 nt
Filed under: Choloepus hoffmanni (Hoffmann's two-fingered sloth)
Lineage: Eukaryota; Metazoa; Chordata; Mammalia; Pilosa; Megalonychidae
Source: RNAcentral